UACAGAGACUGCAAGCGUUAUUCGGAUUCACUGGGCGUAAAGGGUGCGCAGGCGGCCGUGUGUGUGAGGCGUGAAAGCCCGGGGCUUAACCCCGGAAUUGCACCUCAAACUACAUGGCUAGAGCAUUGGAGAGGGUAGCAGAAUUCAUGGUGUAGCAGUGAAAUGCGUAGAUAUCAUGAGGAAUACCAGAGGCGAAGGCGGCUACCUGGACAAUUGCUGACGCUCAGGCACGAAAGCGUGGGGAGCAAACGGG
This 253-nucleotide ribosomal RNA is filed under the name uncultured bacterium. RNAcentral's name for it is "partial 16S ribosomal RNA". It matches the Rfam family "Bacterial small subunit ribosomal RNA", at positions 524 to 776 of the family's 1533-position model. The record is from RNAcentral.